Molecule: ribosomal RNA, 413 nt
Filed under: uncultured Alphaproteobacteria bacterium
Lineage: Bacteria; Pseudomonadati; Pseudomonadota; Alphaproteobacteria
Description: bacterial SSU rRNA
Rfam family: Bacterial small subunit ribosomal RNA
Source: RNAcentral
GAGUUUGAUCAUGGCUCAGAACGAACGCUGGCGGCAUGCCUAACACAUGCAAGUCGAACGAGACCUUCGGGUCUAGUGGCGCACGGGUGCGUAACGCGUGGGAAUCUGCCCUUGGGUUCGGAAUAACUUCGGGAAACUGAAGCUAAUACCGGAUGAUGUCGUAAGACCAAAGAUUUAUCGCCCAAGGAUGAGGCCCGCGUAGGAUUAGCUAGUUGGUGAGGUAAAGGCUCACCAAGGCGACGAUCCUUAGCUGGUCUGAGAGGAUGAUCAGCCACACUGGGACUGAGACACGGGCCCAGACUCCUACGGGAGGCAGCAGUGGGGAAUAUUGGACAAUGGGCGAAAGCCUGAUCCAGCAAUGCCGCGUGAGUGACGAAGGCCCUAGGGUUGUAAAGCUCUUUUACCCGGGAUGA